CUGGCAUAUAACGAAGGACAAGGUGAAUCCGAUAGGGCAUCGAAGCAACCGAGAGCGGCUUGUCGACAGAAAGGUUGGGUAAGAUAUAUUAAGUGACCAACUUCACUAUAAGUGGGAUAUCUUCAGUAUUCAUUCUAUUGUCGUCCACAUGCCCAAUCAAUCAAGUCAUAUACCUUUCGAUUAUAUUUAUGUUUUUUAUUAUCAAUAACAUAUUCGUUGUUUGUGCCAACUUGCAGGAACUAUCGUGUGUUGUUCUCUCGAAAUUAUGCCUACGGACGAUUUGGCUGGCUUGUUUGUGCAGUUGACAGACAAACACUACACUAACUUUCUAUUAAAAAGAUACUAGAGCUAGCCAUGACAAGAAUAAAACAACUCCUAGUGUAGUCGAUUAAAGACUUAACAGUUGAUAUUGAUAUUUGAGGUCCCAAAUUUGAAUCUAAUUACUUUACAUUUUUCGUUGAAUUUAUUUUCAAAAUAUGACUG
Molecule: long non-coding RNA, 483 nt
Filed under: Ananas comosus (pineapple)
Lineage: Eukaryota; Viridiplantae; Streptophyta; Magnoliopsida; Poales; Bromeliaceae
Description: long non-coding RNA (ACOM_LNC015503)
Source: RNAcentral